This 489-nucleotide ribosomal RNA is filed under the name uncultured bacterium. RNAcentral describes it as "bacterial SSU rRNA". It matches the Rfam family "Bacterial small subunit ribosomal RNA", at positions 30 to 513 of the family's 1533-position model. The record is from RNAcentral.
AUUGAACGCUGGCGGCAGGCCUAACACAUGCAAGUCGAGCGGUAGAGAGGUGCUUGCAUCUCUUGAGAGCGGCGGACGGGUGAGUAAUGCCUAGGAAUCUGCCUAGUGGUGGGGGAUAACGUUCGGAAACGGACGCUAAUACCGCAUACGUCCUACGGGAGAAAGCGGGGGAUCUUCGGACCUCGCGCCAUUAGAUGAGCCUAGGUCGGAUUAGCUAGUUGGUGAGGUAAUGGCUCACCAAGGCGACGAUCCGUAACUGGUCUGAGAGGAUGAUCAGUCACACUGGAACUGAGACACGGUCCAGAUUCCUACGGGAGGCAGCAGUGGGGAAUAUUGGACAAUGGGCGAAAGCCUGAUCCAGCCAUGCCGCGUGUGUGAAGAAGGUCUUCGGAUUGUAAAGCACUUUAAGUUGGGAGGAAGGGUAGUAACCUAAUACGUUGCUACUUUGACGUUACGACAGAAUAAGCACCGGCUAACUUCGUGCCAGCA